This 866-nucleotide ribosomal RNA is filed under the name uncultured Alkalibacterium sp. Its description in RNAcentral is "bacterial SSU rRNA". It matches the Rfam family "Bacterial small subunit ribosomal RNA", at positions 28 to 874 of the family's 1533-position model. Lineage: Bacteria; Bacillati; Bacillota; Bacilli; Lactobacillales; Carnobacteriaceae. The record is from RNAcentral.
GACGAACGCUGGCGGNAUGCCUAAUACAUGCAAGUCGAACGCUGAAACACUCUGCUUGCAGAGUGUGGAUGAGUGGCGAACGGGUGAGUAACACGUGGGGAACCUGCCCAUAAGAGGGGGAUAACAUCCGGAAACGGGUGCUAAUACCGCAUAGGUGAUCAUAGCGCAUGCUUAGAUCAUUAAAGAUGGCUUCGGCUAUCGCUUAUGGAUGGCCCCGCGGCGUAUUAGCUAGUUGGUGAGGUAAUGGCUCACCAAGGCUGUGAUACGUAGCCGACCUGAGAGGGUGAUCGGCCACACUGGAACUGAGACACGGUCCAGACUCCUACGGGAGGCAGCAGUAGGGAAUCUUCCACAAUGGGCGAAAGCCUGAUGGAGCAAUACCGCGUGAGUGAAGAAGGUCUUCGGAUCGUAAAGCUCUGUUGUUAGAGAAGAACAAGAGGUGUAGUAACUGGCACCUCCUUGACGGUAUCUAACCAGAAAGUCACGGCUAACUACGUGCCAGCAGCCGCGGUAAUACGUAGGUGACAAGCGUUGUCCGGAUUUAUUGGGCGUAAAGCGAGCGCAGGCGGUCUUUUAAGUCUGAUGUGAAAGCCCACGGCUCAACCGUGGAGGGUCAUUGGAAACUGGAAGACUUGAAUGCAGAAGAGGAAAGUGGAAUUCCAUGUGUAGCGGUGAAAUGCGUAGAUAUAUGGAGGAACACCAGUGGCGAAGGCGACUUUCUGGUCUGUAAUUGACGCUGAGGCUCGAAAGCGUGGGGAGCGAACAGGAUUAGAUACCCUGGUAGUCCACGCCGUAAACGAUGAGUGCUAAGUGUUGGAGGGUUUCCGCCCUUCAGUGCUGGAGCUAACGCAUUAAGCACUCCGCCU